RNAcentral lists this ribosomal RNA (1213 nucleotides) under metagenome. RNAcentral's name for it is "SSU rRNA". It matches the Rfam family "Eukaryotic small subunit ribosomal RNA", at positions 6 to 1214 of the family's 1831-position model. The record is from RNAcentral.
GGUUGAUCCUGCCAGUAGUCAUAUGCUUGUCUCAAAGAUUAGGCCUUGCAUGUCUAAGUACACACUUUGGUAAAGUGAAACCGCGAAUGGCUCAUUAAAUCAGCUACAGUUUAUUAGAUCGUACACUGUUACUUGGAUAACUGUGGGAAUUCUAGAGCUAAUACAUGCCGAGAGUCUCUGCUCUUCGGGGCAGAGCGCAGUUAUUAGACCAAAACCAGCCGUAUUCGUCGGGGUACGCUCUUUUGGUGGCUCUGGAUAACCUUCAGCCGAUCGCAUGGCCUCGUGCCGGCGACGUAUCUUUCAAGUGUCUGCCCUAUCAACUUUCGAUGGUACGUGAUAUGCCUACCAUGGUGAUAACGGGUAACGGGGAAUCAGGGUUCGAUUCCGGAGAGGGAGCCUGAGAAAUGGCUACCACAUCCAAGGAUGGCAGCAGGCGCGCAAAUUACCCACUCCCAGCUUGGGGAGGUAGUGACGAAAAAUAACAAUGCGGGACUCUAAGAGGCCCCGUAAUUGGAAUGAGUACACCUUAAAUCGUUUAACGAGUAUCAAUUGGAGGGCAAGUCUGGUGCCAGCAGCCGCGGUAAUUCCAGCUCCAAUAGCGUAUAUUAAAGUUGCUGCAGUUAAAAAGCUCGUAGUUGGAUCUGGGGCUUGAGGUCGCUGUCUAUCGUUUCGGCGAUGACGGUGAUGCUCAGCUCUGCUUGCCGGUGACUGUUGCGGUGUUCUUCACUGAGCGCUGUAGCAGCACGGCACGUUUACUUUGAAAAAAUUAGAGUGCUCAAAGCGUGCUUGUCGCUUGAAUAAUGUUGCAUGGAAUAAUGGAAUAGGACCUCGGUUCUAUUUUGUUGGUUUUCGGAGCUUGAGGUAAUGAUUAAGAGGGACGAACGGGGGCAUUCGUAUUGCGGUGUUAGAGGUGAAAUUCUUGGAUCGCCGCAAGACGGACUACUGCGAAAGCAUUUGCCAAGAACGCUUUCAUUAAUUAAGAACGAAAGUCAGAGGUUCGAAGACGAUCAGACACCGUCCUAGUUCUGACCAUAAACGAUGCCGACCAGCGAUCCGUAGUGGUUGCUUUAUGGACCCUACGGGCAGCCUCCGGGAAACCAAAGUAUUUGGGUUCCGGGGGAAGUAUGGUUGCAAAGCUGAAACUUAAAGGAAUUGACGGAAGGGCACACCAGGAGUGGAGCCUGCGGCUUAAUUUGACGCAACACGGGAAAAC